RNAcentral lists this ribosomal RNA (569 nucleotides) under Mycobacterium sp. E47. RNAcentral describes it as "bacterial SSU rRNA". It matches the Rfam family "Bacterial small subunit ribosomal RNA", at positions 40 to 626 of the family's 1533-position model. Lineage: Bacteria; Bacillati; Actinomycetota; Actinomycetes; Mycobacteriales; Mycobacteriaceae. The record is from RNAcentral.
CAGCGUGCUUAACACAUGCAAGUCGAACGGAAAGGCCCUUCGGGGUACUCGAGUGGCGAACGGGUGAGUAACACGUGGGUGAUCUGCCCUGCACUUUGGGAUAAGCCUGGGAAACUGGGUCUAAUACCGAAUAGGACUACGCGAUGCAUGUCGUGUGGUGGAAAGCUUUUGCGGUGUGGGAUGGGCCCGCGGCCUAUCAGCUUGUUGGUGAGGUUACGGCUCACCAAGGCGACGACGGGUAGCCGGCCUGAGAGGGUGACCGGCCACACUGGGACUGAGAUACGGCCCAGACUCCUACGGGAGGCAGCAGUGGGGAAUAUUGCACAAUGGGCGCAAGCCUGAUGCAGCGACGCCGCGUGAGGGAUGACGGCCUUCGGGUUGUAAACCUCUUUCGCCAGGGACGAAGCGCAAGUGACGGUACCUGGAGAAGAAGGACCGGCCAACUACGUGCCAGCAGCCGCGGUAAUACGUAGGGUCCGAGCGUUGUCCGGAAUUACUGGGCGUAAAGAGCUCGUAGGUGGUUUGUCGCGUUGUUCGUGAAAACUCACAGCUCAACUGUGGGCGUGCGG